RNAcentral lists this ribosomal RNA (250 nucleotides) under uncultured prokaryote. Its description in RNAcentral is "partial 16S ribosomal RNA". It matches the Rfam family "Bacterial small subunit ribosomal RNA", at positions 524 to 773 of the family's 1533-position model. The record is from RNAcentral.
UACGUAGGGUGCGAGCGUUGUCCGGAAUUAUUGGGCGUAAAGAGCUCGUAGGCGGUCUGUCGCGUCUGCUGUGAAAACCCGAGGCUCAACCUCGGGCCUGCAGUGGGUACGGGCAGACUAGAGUGCGGUAGGGGAGAAUGGAAUUCCUGGUGUAGCGGUGGAAUGCGCAGAUAUCAGGAGGAACACCGAUGGCGAAGGCAGUUCUCUGGGCCGUAACUGACGCUGAGGAGCGAAAGCGUGGGGAGCGAAC